CAGCCGCCGCGGUAAUACGUAGGGUGCAAGCGUUAUCCGGAAUUAUUGGGCGUAAAGAGCUCGUAGGCGGUCUGUCGCGUCUGCUGUGAAAACCGGAGGCUCAACCUCCGGCCUGCAGUGGGUACGGGCAGACUAGAGUGCGGUAGGGGAGAUUGGAAUUCCUGGUGUAGCGGUGGAAUGCGCAGAUAUCAGGAGGAACACCGAUGGCGAAGGCAGAUCUCUGGGCCGUAACUGACGCUGAGGAGCGAAAGCAUGGGGAGCGAACAGGAUUAGAUACCCGAGUAGUCCCUGUCUCUUAUAA
Molecule: ribosomal RNA, 301 nt
Filed under: uncultured bacterium
Lineage: Bacteria
Description: partial 16S ribosomal RNA
Rfam family: Bacterial small subunit ribosomal RNA
Source: RNAcentral